GACGAACGCUGGCGGCAUGCCUAAUACAUGCAAGUAGAACGCUAAAGGAGGAGCUUGCUUCUCUGGAUGAGUUGCGAACGGGUGAGUAACGCGUAGGUAACCUGCCUGGUAGCGGGGGAUAACUAUUGGAAACGAUAGCUAAUACCGCAUAAUAGUAGUUGUUGCAUGACAACUGUUUGAAAGGUGCAAUUGCAUCACUACCAGAUGGACCUGCGUUGUAUUAGCUAGUUGGUGGGGUAACGGCUCACCAAGGCGACGAUACAUAGCCGACCUGAGAGGGUGAUCGGCCACACUGGGACUGAGACACGGCCCAGACUCCUACGGGAGGCAGCAGUAGGGAAUCUUCGGCAAUGGACGGAAGUCUGACCGAGCAACGCCGCGUGAGUGAAGAAGGUUUUCGGAUCGUAAAGCUCUGUUGUAAGAGAAGAACGAGUGUGAGAGUGGAAAGUUCACAC
This 455-nucleotide ribosomal RNA is filed under the name Streptococcus mitis. RNAcentral's name for it is "bacterial SSU rRNA". It matches the Rfam family "Bacterial small subunit ribosomal RNA", at positions 28 to 469 of the family's 1533-position model. Lineage: Bacteria; Bacillati; Bacillota; Bacilli; Lactobacillales; Streptococcaceae. The record is from RNAcentral.